Molecule: ribosomal RNA, 424 nt
Filed under: uncultured bacterium
Lineage: Bacteria
Description: bacterial SSU rRNA
Rfam family: Bacterial small subunit ribosomal RNA
Source: RNAcentral
UUAGGAAUAUUCGUCAAUGGGGGGAAACCCUGAACGAGCAAUGCCGCGUGAAUGAAGAAGGCCCUAUGGGUUGUAAAAUUCUGUUGUAUGGAAAGAAAUGUAAAGUUAGGAAAUGAACUUUUACUUGACGGUACCAUUCAAGAAAGCCACGGCUAACUACGUGCCAGCAGCCGCGGUAAUACGUAGGUGGCGAGCGUUAUCCGGAUUUAUUGGGCGUAAAGGGUGCGUAGGCGGUAUGUUAAGUAUAAAAUAAAAGCCCGAAGCUUAACUUCGGUUCGUUUUAUAAACUGGCAAACUAGAGUACAGUAGAGGCAAAUGGAAUUCCUAGUGUAGUGGUAAAAUGCGUAGAUAUUAGGAGGGACACCAGUAGGCGAAGGCGAUUUGCUGGGCUGUAACUGACGCUGAGGCACGAAAGCGUGGGGGA